This 460-nucleotide ribosomal RNA is filed under the name uncultured bacterium. RNAcentral describes it as "partial 16S ribosomal RNA". It matches the Rfam family "Bacterial small subunit ribosomal RNA", at positions 338 to 795 of the family's 1533-position model. The record is from RNAcentral.
CCUACGGGUGGCAGCAGUGAGGAAUAUUGGUCAAUGGGCUUACGCCUGAACCAGCCAUGCCGCGUGCAGGAAGACGGCUCUAUGAGUUGUAAACUGCUUUUGUACGGGGGUAAACGCAGAUACGCGUAUCUGUCUGAAAGUAUCGUACGAAUAAGGAUCGGCUAACUCCGUGCCAGCAGCAGCGGUAAUACGGAGGAUUCAAGCGUUAUCCGGAUUUAUUGGGUUUAAAGGGUGCGUAGGCGGUCGGAUAAGUUAGAGGUGAAAUCCCGAGGCUCAACUUCGGAAUUGCCUUUGAAACUGUGCGGCUAGAGAGCAGUUGCGGUAGGCGGAAUGUAUGGUGUAGCGGUGAAAUGCUUAGAGAUUAGACAGAACACCGAUUGCGAAGGCAGCUUACCAAGCUACUUCUGACGUUGAGGCACGAAAGCGUGGGGAGCAAACAGGAUUAGAUACCCCAGUAGUC